AAUAUAAGGCCUCCUUUGGAAAAAUGGUUAGGUCUUAGAAAGUAGUUAGUAGCUAUUGAAACCUUUGUCCCCCACAAAAACAAAUAUGGCAAUCAUAAUCGAACAUGGGUGCCACCCCAUAUAGUUGACACUUUAUCUCCUCCAAAAUCCAGCUACUCCUACUCUCAUAAUCAUAAUUAAAUAUAUAUAAGAUCUAGCUUAAACCAAAAAUCCCCCAAUCGAUGAGACCCAACUCUAAAAUUCUCCUCCGAAAAUGUGUACUUGCUUUAUUGCCAUCACCAUUUUUCUCCUCUGCCUCCUCCCGAGGACUAGCCAAGCUGCAGGCUACCUAAGCACUGCAAGCCAGUUCUUGUUACCCCAGAAUGCAGCUCGUGCCGCACUGAGGAUGCCGCCGUUGGUCUGGGAUUCAAACCUCGCACGGUAUGCACAAUGGUAUGCCAACCAGAGAAGGUAUGAUUGUGACCUGAGGCACUCUAACGGACCUUAUGGUGAGAACAUAUUUUGGGGCAGUGGCAGGGGGUGGAGUCCUGCUCAGGCAGUCACUGCCUGGGUCUCCGAGCGAAAAUGGUAUAAUUAUUGGUCUAAUUCUUGCGCUGGGGAUCAAGAAUGUGGACAUUAUACUCAGAUUGUUUGGAGGAAGACAAGAAGAGUUGGGUGUGCUAGAGUUAAUUGUUUUGGUGGUAAGGGAGUUUUCAUGACCUGCAAUUAUGACCCUCCUGGGAACUUCAUUGGAGAAAGGCCUUACUGAAUGUCUUUAAUAAUGGAAUUUUGCAAAAGCGAAUUUCAAUAUUGUUGUAUUCUUAGUGGGAUUUUAUUGUUUGGUGAAUGGUUUUAUUUUAUAUGAGUGCAUAUUUUCUUCAAAUUUUUUUAUUUUUUGUGUAAGAAUUUUUUUCGAAAUACCAGAAAAAG
RNAcentral lists this unclassified non-coding RNA (909 nucleotides) under Hevea brasiliensis (rubber tree). Lineage: Eukaryota; Viridiplantae; Streptophyta; Magnoliopsida; Malpighiales; Euphorbiaceae. The record is from RNAcentral.